RNAcentral lists this ribosomal RNA (1445 nucleotides) under uncultured Bordetella sp. Its description in RNAcentral is "partial 16S-23S ribosomal RNA intergenic spacer". It matches the Rfam family "Bacterial small subunit ribosomal RNA". The record is from RNAcentral. Lineage: Bacteria; Pseudomonadati; Pseudomonadota; Betaproteobacteria; Burkholderiales; Alcaligenaceae.
AGUUCGAUCCUGGCUCAGAUUGAACGCUGGCGGGAUGCUUUACACAUGCAAGUCGAACGGCAGCACGGACUUCGGUCUUGGUGGCGAGUGGCGAACGGGUGAGUAAUGUAUCGGAACGUGCCUAGUAGCGGGGGAUAACUACGCGAAAGCGUAGCCAAUACCGCAUACGCCCUUCGGGGGGAAAGCGGGGACCUUCGGGCCUCGCACUAUUAGAGCGGCCGAUACCGGAUUAGCUAGUUGGUGGGUAAUCGCUCACGAAGGCGACGAUCCGUAGCUGGUCGGAGAGGACGACCAGCCACACUGGGACUGAGACACGGCUCCAGACUCUACGGGAGGGCGGUGGGGAAUUUUGGACAAUGGGGGAAACCCUGAUCCAGCCAUCCGGCGUGUGCGUGAUGAAGGCCUUCGUUGUAAAGCACUUUUGGCAGGAAAGAAACGGCACGGAUAAUACCGUGCAACUGACGUACCUUUGUGAAUACACCGGCUAAUCACGUGCCAGCAGCCGCGGUAAUACGUGGUAGGUGCAAGUGUUAAUCGGAAUUACUGGGCGUAAAGCGUGUGCGCAGGCGGAACAAAAGAAAGAUGUGAAAUCCCAGAGCUAACUUGAACUGCAUUUUAACUACCGAGCUAGAGUGUGUCAGAGGGAGGUAAAUUCCGCGUGUAGCAGUGAAAUGCGUAGAUAUGCGGAGGAACACCGAUGGCGAAGGCAGCCUCCUGGGAUAACACUGACGCUCAUGCACGAAAGCGUGGAGCAACAGGAUUAGAUACCCUGGUGUAGGUCCACGCCCUAAACGAUGUCAACUAGCUUUGCCAGCCUUCGGCCCAGGCGCAGCUAACGCGUAUUGACCGCCUGGGGAGUACGGUCGCAAGAUUAAAACUCAAAGGAAUUGACGGGGACCCGCAAUAAGCGGUGGAUGAUGUGGAUUAAUUCGAUGAACGCAAAACCUUACCUACCCCGAUAUGCUCCGAAUCCCGAAGAUUGGGGAAAGGUGCUCGCAAGAGAACCGAACACAGGUGCUGCAUGGCUGUCGUCAGCUCGUGUCGAGAUGUUGGUUAAGUCCCGCAACGAGCGGCAACCCUUGUCAUUAGUUGCUACGUAGGGCACCUUGACGGAGACUGCCGGGUGGAGCAAACCGAGGGGAAGGUGGGGAUGACGUCGGUCUCAUGGCCUUUGAGGGUAGGGCUUCACAACAAUGAGUCAAUAGAUGGUCGCCAACCCAAGAGGGGAGCCAAUCCCAGAACCGAUCAGUCCGGAUCGCAGUCUGCAACUCGACUGGCGAAGUCGGAAUCGCCAGUAAUCGCGGAUCACAGUUGCCGUGUAAUAUGUUCCGGGUCUGUACACAUCGCCCGUCACGACCAUGGGAGUGGUUUUAAUAGAAGAAGUAGUCAACCGUGGAGUGGGCGAUUACCACGGUGAGAUUUUCAGCGACUGGGUGAAGUCAGUA